GUGUCAGCCGCCGCGGUAAUACGUAGGGUGCAAGCGUUAAUCGGAAUUACUGGGCGUAAAGCGUGCGCAGGCGGUUUUGUAAGUCAGAUGUGAAAUCCCCGGGCUUAACCUGGGAACUGCGUUUGAAACUACAAGGCUAGAGUGUGGCAGAGGGGGGUGGAAUUCCACGUGUAGCAGUGAAAUGCGUAGAGAUGUGGAGGAACACCGAUGGCGAAGGCAGCCCCCUGGGUUAACACUGACGCUCAGGCACGAAAGCGUGGGGAGCAAACAGGAUUAGAAACCCUUGUAGUCC
Molecule: ribosomal RNA, 292 nt
Filed under: uncultured bacterium
Lineage: Bacteria
Description: partial 16S ribosomal RNA
Rfam family: Bacterial small subunit ribosomal RNA
Source: RNAcentral